GGCUAUGACCAUUGCCAUGAUGACUACAAAGUGGUGAAUAUAGAUGACAAUCGAAUCUUUGUAUAUUCAAUGAGAAAUGGUUGUUGGAGAAAAGUUGAAGACUUCUCUAGUAAGGUCGAUUUUCGUGUUCUCGAAGACGUUGGGACACAACUGAAUGGGGCCAUUAAUUGGCUUCGUAUUAAAAACCCUAAAGAUAUUAUACACAAGUGGCAGCGGAAAUUUGAGAUUGCUGCUUUUAGUUUGGUGGAUGAGAAAGUGCGGAUGAUACCCUUGCCAAGUACUUCUGUCAACACCAGUUUUCAUAACGCAAGUCAAUUAGGGGUGUUUGAAGGAUGCCUUUGUAUACUACCCUGUUGUGAUGGUGAAUUGUGGGUUAUGAAGGAAUAUGGGGUUGAGCAGUCUUGGACUAGAAUUGAUACAAAGGUCCCAAUAUCUUCAGAUAUGUUGGCUUUGUUGAGGAACGAAGUGAUAGACUACACUAAGUUACUUUUAUACAACAGAACAGUAAAGGGUCCUCUUGGCAUACAUGAUGACGAAAAUGAAGAAGAUGUGUAUGAUUUUCAUGCAACCAUCUGUGUAGAUAGUCUCCUUUCACCCUUCAUGAGAUUGCAGGAGAAAGAGUCCCUCUGACACCCCCGAUAUGAAGUAAGCAAGUUUUCAUCACUCAGGAUGGAAUUUUACAGAUUUUCUCUAAUUAACAGCAAUAUAAACUACUUUGGCAAAUAUGCUGUACCAUGUUGUCAAAAUCGAAAUUGAAGGUAUUAAUAUAUAUAAGGAUUAUCUCAUUUUCUUGGCUUUGUUGUUAUGCUUUAUUUUUUAUUUUGUUGGUAAUUGUUGUGUGCUUUAGGAACUAAUAAUUUUUGAAAGUUGGCAAGAAACUCACGCCCAGUUUUUGGGACUUAAACCCUCGACUUCUACUUUGGAAAGUGAGAAACUACCGGCAGUCUAUUGUGAAUUUCUGGAACUAUUAGGACUGGUUUGGUCCUGAUUCAUCCAAGAACCUGACCUAACUUGCAUCCUUAGGUAAGACUUCUUAGUUAUGUUCUCUUAGAAUAGUAUUCAUGAAACAUUAACUUUUAUGGGUAAACUAGUCAAAAUACAUACACAGUACCUUAAGGGGACUUGAAAAGCAUCAUCUAACUAGAAUGAUCACAAAACACUGCACGUUAUUACAGUAUGUAGCCUACAAUAUGUCCACCAUAUUUUGAUUUGUUUUGAUUCUGCAGAUUGACUACUUUGAAAUUUUUUUUGGUUAAUCAAAGGCGUCUUCUUGAGUUAACCUUUGGCUACACUUAUCUUCUUCAUAUUCUUUUCUAAUCUGAGAAGGAAAAUGAUAUAUAUCUAAUGCAGUGCUUGUGCUGAAAAAUAAAACCCUUUGGUAACAUGAAAUUCUCUUAAUGCUGAUUAAUGGUUGUGAAAACAUUUUAUUUUUAUAACAUAUAUUAGAAUUAUAUGGCCAUAAACAAACAUCUUCCCAAUUGUUCAAUUUGACGACAAUGAUAUAUAUUUUGAUGUUCUUUUUGCUGAAGGAAUUUGGCUAAACCACUACAUUGGUACGCACACUUCUGAGGCUUAAUUUUCAGGAGCAAAGCCCCAAAUUGUCAAACCAUGAAGUCUUCAUUUCACAACAUUCAACUUAUAAGGAACAAAAUUACUUUUUUCAAACAAAACAUUUUUUUUCAAGAUAAGUUCUCAAGAACUCCUAAGUUUCAGAACAAUUCUAUGAUACUCUUAAGUCAAAAACUCUUAUGUUCUCACUUUUUAAGUCAUUCUUUCUUCAAAGAGACUCUUUUCAAGUCAAAAUCACCAAGAACUCAUACGAUCUCUUUUCAAAACAAUUUCCACCAGCUCUUAUGCAUACAUUUUAAACUUCAAAAGUUCUCAAACUCAUCAUAUUGAACUAUAUUUGACUUGAUCAUUAUCAUACCAUUCACAUGGUAAGGUAUGUAGGCAGCCUAGUUAGGUAAUUCCUAGUUUCGGUCACACUAUUUUCAAAAAAUUAUUUCUUUUCAAGAACCCCUAUGUUUAAACCUUUUAAUCACAUAUACCUACCAAAGCAUAUAUCCUCUCUCUUAUGGAUAAAGUCAAGUUUUCAAGCCAAUAUUCAAGGAAGCACUUGGUGCUAGGUUCUAAACACAUACAUUUUUUGAAAUGCAACAUAAAAAAUAAGGUAACCGUGUUUCAUGGGUGUCAUAGGGUGUCUAACACCUUCCCAUGUACAACAAACCUAAUAUUUUACCUGAAAUUCAUUUUUUCUUGUUACCUUUUUAAGGGAUGCAGAGUCUCCUGCUCUUCCCUUGUUUCUUUUGGUGUUCGCAUUAGGUUGAACAUUUGCAUUUGUCUAAAUGAGGUAAUUGGUAUUAUUUUUAGUGAUAUUCAAUCUCUUCACUAUUGCAGUCGAAAGAAGAAAUGAGGAUAUUGUUGUUUACAUUCAUUCUUUCCAUAUAAAAGUUUUGUGAGGAUAUUGAUGUUUGCAUUUAUUCUUUUCAUAUAAAAGUUUUUGUUGACUCUUUAAUCUUGUCAUUUCAUUCAUUACAAGGAAAUUGACAUAUUAAAAGACAAGUUCAUUUGUGUGGUGUAGGCAAUGAAAUUUUUUUAUUCUCAUAUUUUCACGUGGUUUAUAAGAUAGAUGCAAUAAGCCGACUAUUCUUGAAAUUGAUGGGGUUUAAAUUGUGCAAACUUCAUAAUUAUGAUUUGUUUAUCUUUUUGUUGGAAUACUGUUGGAUCUUCAUAUAUUAUGCUUGAGGUUAUUAUGAUAUAUGGAUAUAUAUAUAUGUAUGUAUGUAUGUAUGUAUGUAUGUAUGUAUGCCCACUCUGCUGGAGGAUGUGCCUCAGCAGCCUGUACGGAAGAGAGAGUUCUAUGCUUUCUCCUUGCUUAAAGGCAGCAUCUCAUGUUGAAGCAUAUUAUGGUGCAGCAGCAUCAUGGACUUGACUGCAGUUAUUAUACAUGUUCUGUAUCUAGAUUUCUGCAUGGCUUCUUGUUUCUUAGGGAUCUCUUGGCAUAUUUCUAAGGCUCAGACCUCCGUGAAUGUCUAAGAUGCUGCUAUGACACGAGUAGGUCCUGCUGUCAACUUUGAGGUCAGAUCAUUAUUAUUUUUUAAUUAGAAAUUUGAAUUUGUGGUAUUUAUCUAUUAAAUUUUUUAAUGCAAAACAGUAUUGUGGUAUUUUCUUUUUCGAGGGGGUUGUUUGCUAAUUUCUUGUCUCUGUUUUCUUGUCUUUUGAUAUGUCCUUCCAUGUUGCAGAAAGCACCUAUUGCAUUGUUUAUAUGAUAAACGUCCAUCAUUCCUUGUUCCAGAUUGGCUCUAAGAUUUACCUUUAUGCUCGAGUGUUAAUAUUGAUACUUUUGUGGUUUUAUUUUCAUAAUCAUUAAAUAUUUUAUCUCAUCUUUAUGUGUCCUGUGCCACUAUAUAUAUAUUUAUGUAUUUUUCUCAUUUCUAUUUUCUGUUUCAGUUGAGAUUUUUAUCUUCGGAGUUGUUGAGCUUUAGAACUUCAAUAAUGUGGAAGAUAUGGAUGAAAUGUUGCAAGAAUUGAAUCUUAUUGCAGGUUGUCUUUUGUUUUUACAAUUUCUAGAAAUUGUUUGGAAUGGUUAAGAGUUGAAGGGGGUGCAUUUGAGCUUCUCAUGACUGACAAUUGGGAAUUUUUCGUAUGUAUAGUUUGGCAGAAUCUUAAAUUUUAGGAGCACAUCUUCUAGGUUUAAGCUGUUAGUCUGUUGUUGAUCCUCACAGUUCUUUUCACGUCAUUCUUUUCUGUGGUCUAUCAUGUUGAAUGAGUCCCACAUCGGUUGGUGAAGAAGGAAAUCUUAUGGGGCAAAGGUCACUCCACCUAAUGGGUUAACCUUUUGGGUUGGAUACCCCCAUCCCAACAACUGGUAUCACAACCAAGUCCCCAAGAAUUGCAUGUGGACUCAAGAUCCCCUAGCUGACGGGAGGACAGGAAGGGCGGUGACAUUCUAUCCACAGAACGAGUCCCACAUUGCUCAUUGAAGAAGGAAAUCUUGGACUUAUAUAGGGCAAGGGUCACUACACCUAAUAGGUUAACCUUUUGGGUUGGAUACCCCCAUCCCAACACUAAUAUAUAUACAUUUUCUUCUCUAUGCUAAAAUGUCACCUCAGUUUGGGUAUUGAUGUGAUGCCUUUAUCAACACUAUCCUAUUGUAUGCUUUAGGCUACAGUUUAUUUGUUGUUUUCAUUUAAUGGUGAAAAAUGGUCCAUAUAUGUUUUCUUUAUGCAGUUCAUUACUGUUAUUGUUUCUUAUUUGGUUAUCUGUACAAUUUUCAUUCAUGUUGAUUGUAGUAAUUUCAUGCAAUAAUGUUGUAUUUGGCUGCGAUUCUUAAUUUCUGAUGAACUGUGUUGAUGGCUGGACUCCUAUGUGGAGAAGGAAUUGGCAUUUCAAGGUUUGUUCUUUGCAGUUUUUGUCGAAUCAUGAAAGUAAUACUCGUAAAAAUAAAAAAAUAAAAGAAGUGAACAAUACAUAACCUCCAUAGCCAAACUGAUCAUUUGGUUGGCUUAUAAAAUGUUGAUAUUUUGUUCCUGCAGAUGUGUCUUGCACAAUAAGCGUUGGAUGCUCCUUGAUAGGUGUUUCUAUUGUCUUUUUUGUUUUAAGUUUUUCCAUCUGCUGCGAUUACAUGAUUUGAAAGUAUUUAUGAGUACACAAAAAAAAGUGGAAUCAUUGAUUAUUUAUUUAUCUUUUGGUUUGAUACAUGCCUUAUCUCUUGUGGAGAGUGUCUACUUUCCUAGAUUUACUUCCUCGUUUCUUAGUUGGACAGUGUUAGAGCACCUGCAAUUUUAGUCAAUACUGAAUGUAAAUGAAAAUUUCCUUUUUCACUUACUUUGAAUGUGUUGUAGUGCUUUUGUUUCCGUUCAAUCAACACAACUAAACAGAAAAUAUACAAUUUAUGUUCUGUUUUGAAGGCGCUUCUUUUACACAUCAGUGAUAGAAUUGUUCCAAAAAGGGGCUGAAAGAAUCAUUUUGCAUCUUUUCUCUUUUGAAUGUUGUUUUCUCUGGUUUCAUUCUAGGCAACCUUGGAGACAUUUCCAGUAUGAAGAGACGGAUCAGUUGAUUUUUUCCACCCCAGUUGAUCAAGCACUGUGUUUAUUUAUUUAUUUAUUAUUAUUAUUAUUUAUUUCUUCUCUAUUGUAUAUGUGACUUCAUUGUCUUGAUAUUUCCUAACGUUCUUUCUUAUUCCUUUCUCUCGCGGUAGAAAUCUCAUUUUUGUUUUUUGUUUUUUUGAGUGCCUGUUGUCUAGCUGGACAUGAAACAUCAAUACUUUUUUCUUUUCUUCUUCUUUUUUGAUUUCUUGGAGGUAAUUAAUUUUUUAUCUUUAAUUUAAAACAUUUCUAAAAUCUAUAAAUGUUCUACUUUGUAGGGUUUAUUGCAAAGGCUCUGCUGUGCUACAAAAUUUACGUAUGGUUGUGCUUUGUUGGGCUUCUUUCAAAAGCUCUACCAUGUCCUUUCUUUCUUUCCUUCUCUCUUUUUUUUCUUUUCCAAUUCUUUGCUUAAUUUUUGCUUGAUAGCCUACUUAGAACUUGUCCAUGUGACUACUCAAUAUUUUUCUUGUGCCAUACCUAAUUUUUUGCUUGUUCUAUCUAUUUAUUAUGUCUGCUUUCUAGGGAAUGCAGUCCAAUACCAUCUUUCCUACUCCAUUGUUGGAGAGGUUGUAUUUAGAUUCUCUUGUUCUUUAUGUUAUAUUCCUGUUAGUUGAAUUGAGAUCGCUGACCUUUCAAAGAAGGGUGUGUCGGUGUUCUUCUCUCACUCAUAUACAUCGUUGUACAUAGGUGGAUCAUUUUCCUUCUCUUCCCUCACUUGGGUCAAUCCCUACAUGUGGCAGCUAUCUAAUCAAUUCAGGUACCCUAUUUCUCAUUACCUUAUAUUAAUACCAUGAUUGUUGUUUUUUGUACUGUGUAUUAGUCUUCUAGGGUUAGCCCAUUUGUUUCUUUUUUAUUGUGGCGUAUGAUGCUGAAAGAAUUUCAAAUUUAUGCGGUUUUAUAAUCCUUCAGUCUGAUAAUGUAAUUAUCUUUGUAUCUUUUCAAGGAUGACAUUAAUUAGUGGUCUCCAUCUCGGUAAAUGUUUAAAGUUUAAACCUUUAGAAUUGUAUCAUCUUCCAAUCAUGUUCUCCCUCUUCGUUUAAUUUACAUGGGCUUAGCAUGAUUAUGGUGAUGAAUUGAUCUAGCCUUGUUGCCAUUCACUUUCCUGUUGUUGCAGUUAGAAAUUAUUAUUAUUAUUAUUUGUGUUGAUAAGAUAGUCUCUAGAUUUUGAAGGUGGAUGUGCAAAAAUUAUUUUUCGGUUUAGUAUAAUUUUUUUUUUUUUUUUUUUUUUUUUUUUGCAGUACACAUGGUUACUAAAUGACAUAUAAGCCACAAGUUUUUUUAAUAGGAGUAGUUUUUUUCUUUGAUUUAAAUUUUUAUGAUGUUGUUCAUAUUGAAGAUGCGGGAUAUUUAGCUUCUCUAGAAUUUCAUUGUGCGCGGGAAGUGUGUGAGGCUGCUCAGAUCGUUUUUGUUCCUUAGGGGAGACCAGCUUAAUUCUUUUCUUAUUCUUUGCAGCUUGCAAUAUUGUUUUUGAUUUUCCCCUUAUGGAGGUCAUGCAUUCAUCAAUUUUCCCUUUCAUUAUCCAUACAAAUUUUCUUACUUGGUUAUGUUUGUGUGUAUUUUGUGAUUUUUUUUUUUUUUUUUUUCUGUCUGUUUAUAUGGAUUUUGUGUGGCACAAUAAUGAAGAUUAUAUUUUGUUUCUGCCUUUAUUUUUAAGUGUUUCUGUCAGAUUUUACAAGCAAUUUUUUGCUUGUAAUUUUGGGCUAAAACUUUUAUUAUUGGCUAUGGAGAUGUGAAAAACAAAAACAAAAAAACAACACUAUUUCUGCUGAUUUCAACCUGUACAGAUUGUGGAAUCUGGAGAUGUGAGGUUUUUGGGUUUUGGCUGAAUUCAGUCCGUGCAGGUAAUCAGUUUUUGGUUUCUUGGUAGUUGUAAGAUUUGUUUUCUGUGGGUAUCAGUUCUUAGGCCUUUAGCUUGAUGUUCAAAUUUUCAUUUCAUGUAACCCAAUAAGAAAGUGGUGAAUGAGUUUGAAUAAUGGUGAAAAUCAUUUUUGUGAUC
Long non-coding RNA from Cornus florida, 7083 nucleotides. RefSeq lists it as uncharacterized. The record is from RefSeq and is a predicted model, not a curated record. Lineage: Eukaryota; Viridiplantae; Streptophyta; Magnoliopsida; Cornales; Cornaceae. The transcript has 2 exons.